GGCGUACCCGCAUCUGCCCCUCAGGAAGCAUCAGGAAACCCAAACAGAGCAACAGGUCCCAAAGUAACUGGCCUGCGUGCUUAAAAAAUGUCAAGAUCGAGAAAGACAAAGAAUGGCUAGGGAAGUGUUCCGGAUUAAAGGAGACUAAAGAGAGGUGGACCCUCCCUCCCCGGAGACCACCCGUUUGUUUCGUUCCUGUCCUCCCAGAGAUAUUUUCUGCACAUACACACUCAGGGCUGGCGGGACGACACGCUGGAUGGUAACUGCUGAGUCAUCAGCCACUUGGUGACCUCGAGUAGCUGUUUCAGCCCACCUACAGAAACUGUGGAUCCUUUGCCAAACCGUUGCCAUAAGUGUUAAGAACCAAGCUCAGUUAUUCUCUUAAAAAUAGUAAUUUUCAAGAAGAUGGAAGUCUUCAACUUUAAAACCA
Physeter macrocephalus (sperm whale) is the source of this 430-nucleotide long non-coding RNA. RefSeq lists it as uncharacterized. The transcript has 3 exons. Lineage: Eukaryota; Metazoa; Chordata; Mammalia; Artiodactyla; Physeteridae. The record is from RefSeq and is a predicted model, not a curated record.